RNAcentral lists this ribosomal RNA (252 nucleotides) under uncultured prokaryote. RNAcentral describes it as "partial 16S ribosomal RNA". It matches the Rfam family "Bacterial small subunit ribosomal RNA", at positions 525 to 775 of the family's 1533-position model. The record is from RNAcentral.
ACGUAGGAGGCGAGCGUUAUCCGGAUUUACUGGGCGUAAAGCGCGUGCAGGCGGUGCGAUAAGUCGUGCGUGAAAGCUCCCAGGCUUAACCGGGAGAGGACGUGCGAGACUGUCGGACUAGAGGCAGGUAGAGGUGUGUGGAAUUCCGGGUGUAGUGGUGAAAUGCGUAGAGAUCCGGAGGAACCCCAGUGGCGAAGGCGACCUGCUCGGCCUUGCCUGACGCUCAGCCGCGAAAGCAUGGGGAGCGAACGG